RNAcentral lists this non-coding RNA (663 nucleotides) under Pan troglodytes (chimpanzee). The record is from RNAcentral. Lineage: Eukaryota; Metazoa; Chordata; Mammalia; Primates; Hominidae.
AUAGAAUUUAGAACAGUACCUGAUGCGUAGUUAAUGCUCAACAAGGAGUGUUCUUUCUUGGAACCAUCUGCCAAGCUGUGAGGAAACUCCAGAGCCAUAUGACAAGACCUGAUGGAGGAUAACUGAGGACUUUGGCCAACAACCCCAGCUGAGCUCCCAGUUGGAAUGUGAAUGAGGCCAUUUUGAGUGUUCCAGCCUAUUGGAGCCCUAGCCAACACACUCUACAAACUAGAACUGCCUGAUUGACCCGCAGAAUCAUAAGAAAUGAUCUUGCUUUGUCACACAAGCUGGAGUGCAGUGGUAUGAUCAUGGAUCUCUGUAAACUUGAACUCCUGGGCUCAAAAGAUCCUCCUCCCUUGGCCUCCCAAAGUGCUGGGAUUAUACAGAAAGUAAUUUGAAGGCCUUCCCUGACUUAAAGUGGAUGCUGCUUUGGAAAGCACUGGAAAAAUGGAUCCUGUCUUUCUUAGCCAAGGACUGGUCUCUUUUCUCCAAUGUGUCCCUAACAGAGUGGUGAGGCUGGCUCUUCCCACCAGUACAGACAGAAUUUUCAAUUCACAAAUCAUCUGAAAAACAGGAAAUUUUGGAGAAACAUGCUUAUGAUAACAAACAAGGGAUCUAUCGUGUGGUAUAGAAGUUUACACAAAGAGGCAUCCGAUUUUAAGU